CGUAACAAGGUCUCCGUUGGUGAACCAGCGGAGGGAUCAUUACCGAGUUUUCAACUCCCAAACCCUUAUGUGAACCUACCUAUCGUUGCUUCGGCGGACUCGCCCCAGCCGGACGCGGACUGGACCAGCGGCCGCCGGGGACCAUCAAACUCUUGUAUUAUCAGCAUCUUCUGAAUACGCCGCAAGGCAAAACAAAUAAAUUAAAACUUUCAACAACGGAUCUCUUGGCUCUGGCAUCGAUGAAGAACGCAGCGAAAUGCGAUAAGUAAUGUGAAUUGCAGAAUCCAGUGAAUCAUCGAAUCUUUGAACGCACAUUGCGCCCGCCAGCAUUCUGGCGGGCAUGCCUGUUCGAGCGUCAUUUCAACCCUCGACCUCCCUUUGGGGAAGUCGGCGUUGGGGACCGGCAGCACACCGCCGGCCCUGAAAUGGAGUGGCGGCCCGUCCGCGGCGACCUCUGCGUAGUAAACCAACUCGCACCGGAACCCCGACGUGGCCACGCCGUAAAACACCCAACUUCUGAACGUUGACCUCGAAUCAGGUAGGACUACCCGCUGAACUUAAGCAUAUCAA
Molecule: ribosomal RNA, 570 nt
Filed under: Beauveria bassiana
Lineage: Eukaryota; Fungi; Ascomycota; Sordariomycetes; Hypocreales; Cordycipitaceae
Description: eukaryotic LSU rRNA
Rfam family: 5.8S ribosomal RNA (bases 205-358)
Source: RNAcentral